CAGAAAGUGAUAGGCCAGAAGACUGCACUGAGCUCCAGUAUCAGCUUUGGCAUGGUUUCUACAGCUGAAUGCCCUUCCUAACUCCAACCACUUUACA
Molecule: long non-coding RNA, 97 nt
Organism: Octopus sinensis (East Asian common octopus)
Lineage: Eukaryota; Metazoa; Mollusca; Cephalopoda; Octopoda; Octopodidae
Exons: 3
Source: RefSeq, a predicted model, not a curated record